Eufriesea mexicana is the source of this 257-nucleotide long non-coding RNA. RefSeq lists it as uncharacterized. The record is from RefSeq and is a predicted model, not a curated record. The transcript has 3 exons. NCBI's taxonomy places the organism in Eukaryota, Metazoa, Arthropoda, Insecta, Hymenoptera, Apidae.
AUUGUAGUAUUGAAGGAUGACUGACUGAGUUCUGAUGUUUUGCCUACAAGACAUUUUUUUAUAUAAUCAUAUACUAAACUUUCCUAACAUCUCGAAAUGAAAUACCCACGUAAUUCAACAAUUUGCAACUGAUCAAUAUCACGAAGAUACAUUGAACUUUGCAAUCUAUGCAUUAUCCAGAGAUGGUCGAUAAGCAGCUUAUAAAAACUUAAAUUACGCAGAACAUUGAGAAUUAUCAACCGAAUCUCAUUUAACAU